Long non-coding RNA from Manihot esculenta (cassava), 673 nucleotides. RefSeq lists it as uncharacterized. The transcript is spliced from 3 exons. The record is from RefSeq and is a predicted model, not a curated record. NCBI's taxonomy places the organism in Eukaryota, Viridiplantae, Streptophyta, Magnoliopsida, Malpighiales, Euphorbiaceae.
AUGUAAGUUUAGUAGGUCAAUCUAUGAAUAUUGAAAGUUUAAAAACUAAAUUGAAACAUGUGGAAAAGUUUAGUAGGUGAAAGUGUGAAUAUGGAAAGUUUAAAAGUAAAAUUCCAAGUUUGCCCUCCACCUUUUUCUAUAUUUACACCUAACCCACCAUAUGACACCUAGCCAUGCAUGACUAAGCAUGAAAGAAAAGAGUUGUCAUUCAUUUGGUCCAUCAUUGCCGUGGCUACACCAAAAGGAAAGAGAAAAAGCUUUUGCUUUCUUAUCUUCCAUUUCCACCAUAGUUCAUCAAAAAGAUAAAAUCUCCAGCCACACAAAAUCUGUUCUUAAGUGUAAUAACCAGCAAGGAAACCAUAGAAAGGGAGGAAAGAAGGAGAGAAGUUAAGGUGCUUUAGUGAACAAACUCAAAGGGAGGAAGGUACAGCAAAGGGGAAAGGCAAGGAAAGAGAGUAACUAAGGUGUACCUAAAGCUUUUGAAAAGAUUGUGCAAAAGGUAAUAGAUAGAGGAAGCAACAGUUAGGAGGUCUGGUUCUGCAUCAGCACAGAGACAUCAUCAUAACCAGUCAGUCACAAGAUUUGUACAGAGGUUGUUUAUGGUUGGCAUGUACAUUAAUAGUCUACCAAGAGUCUGUAAAUGAGUAUUGUAAAUAGUAUGAAUAUAAACAAA